Molecule: RNA transcript, 3065 nt
Organism: Populus nigra (black poplar)
Lineage: Eukaryota; Viridiplantae; Streptophyta; Magnoliopsida; Malpighiales; Salicaceae
Gene name: plant-specific TFIIB-related protein PTF2
Exons: 3
Source: RefSeq, a predicted model, not a curated record
CCAGCCGACCUGCGGAGAUCUAAAACCUAACCAGACAAACAGUUAAACGCUGUCGCUUCCUUCUUCUCCUCCCUCUUCUUUCUUCAACAACAGACCCUCUCCACGCGAUUCAAAAUCCAAAAUUUUUUCCAUAGAAAAUCAAAUUUCUCAGCAACCAAACACCCUCAGAGAAAACCCAGUUCCCCAAAAUGUCCUGCAAAGCUUGUGGGCUCAGAACCCUUAUCAGGGACGAUGCAACAGAGAACAUGAUAUGUGAUUCAUGUGGUACAGUCCAGGAUUUCGCCAACUAUCAAGAACGUACCUUUAACAUUAAUGGGCCAACAGGUGUGUUUAUAAGUAUAGGCUCUUCAGGUUGUGGUAGUGUUUUGAAUUAUAGAGAGAAGAAGAUUUAUGAAGCAAAUAAUUUAAUAGAUGAUAUUGUUUUUAAGGUAGGGUUAACUGGUGGUUCAAAAGUUAGUGAAAUUAGAGAUAUGAUUAGUAAAGUUACUGAUGGGGAGUUUGGUUCAAGUGAGAGUAGAUGGUUUAGUAUUUUUGUUGGUGCUUGUGUUUAUGUUGUAAUGAGGAAUGGUGAUAAAAGUUUGAGCAUUGAGGAGGUGAGUAGUGUUGUUGGGUGUGAUAUUCAUGAAUUGGGGAGGAUGGUCGUGAGGGUUGUUGAGCAUUUGGGGAUGAAGUUGCCAGGUUUUGAUAUAGUGGGCAGUUUUGAGAGGGUGGUUAGGAGUUUGUCGAUUUUGGACAGGGUUGAGGGGGAUGUGUUGGAGAGGAUGAGGAAACAAGGUAUUUUUUUAGUGCAAUGUGCUGUGAAGUGGUUUUUGACUACAGGGAGGAGGCCGUUGCCGGUUGUUGUGGCUGUUUUGGUUUUGGUUGCUGAGUUGAAUGGGGUGGAGGGGGUUAAGAUUGAGGAGGUUGCCAGAGAGGUUCAUGUUGCGGUGUCUACUUGUAGGUUGAGAUACAAGGAAUUGUUGGAGGUGAUUGCUAAGGUAGCGCAAGAGAUUUUGCCAUGGGGGAAGGAUGUAAAUGUGAAGAAUGCAGUGAAGAAUGCGCCAUUUGUGAUUCGAUAUUUGGAGAUGAAAUGUAUGUCGAAGAGUGGUGGGGGAAAAAAGGGUUUGGAGAGUACUGAGUUUGAUUUGGGAGAAGUGGUUGGUGCGUAUUUUAGUAAGAAUGUUGUGGAGGAUAGUUUGGAAUGUGAGGAUUUGCGGUAUUUUGAGUUGGAAGAUGCUAUUGGGUUUGAUAAGACUGGCAUUGAUGAGGUGGAUAAGCUUCAGCUUUCACAUGAAUGCUUAUCCAUGGUUUAUGACAAGUUCCUUAUGGAUGGUGGUUGUGGUAGAUAUAUGGAAGAAAGUGGAAAGGUUCUUGGGAGGAAAAGGGAGAGAGAGCUUGAGAUUCAGGCAACAGAAUGGUGGAAUGGAAAAUCAGAGUUGAGCAAGAAGCUUUUGCUAAAACAGUUAUUGGAGAAAGAUAUAGGAUUUAGUGUUAUGCCUCCAUCUUUUGUCAAUGGUUGUACAACAAUUAAGAAGAGGAGAGCAAAGAUAAAUGCUGCAAAGCUGCGGAUUGAUAGGAUUAUGAAUCCAUGGAAUACUGAUUCAGGUAGUGGUAAAGUUUGCACUGUUGAAGGUGCACAUGAUCGGAAGAGGAAAAGAAAAUCACUGGUAAAAGAUAUUGAUUGGGAGGAUUUUGUCAUUGAGACCCUCCUUCUUCAUCAGGUGAAAGAGGAGGAAAUUGAGAAAGGGUAUUACAACACCUUGAUGGACGUGCAUGUUUUCAAUUCUGGUACUAUGUGAGAGCUUACAGCACAGGAACCAAAAAGCAAUCCAUGGUGAGAGAAUUGCAAAAUUAAGGAAAUAAAAUGCAACAAAAGGAAGCGCUAUAUUUAGGACAUAGAGCUUGAGGAACUCUUGCAGGCAGCUAGUGAAACUACAAAACUCUUAACGUGCAUUACUGACCAGCAGCAAAUGCCUCGACUGGGAAUGUUUUGGUGAUGCCAGCAAGACUCUUGAAGUGAAUUUUGCCAGUUGGUGGGUCAUCAAUGGUUAUCUCAUUUACUGGUGGCCAUAGCAUGAAUUCCUUAGCUUUCACUCCCUUGAGUUUCCUUAUCUGCUUUUUGCUGACAUGACCAUUUAUAUCAGUGUCAUAGCUCACAAUCUUGCUGGCUAUCUUGAAGUUGUGUUCAACCUUCUUCUUUUGGACGAUCCACAUGUAUCCAAUACUCCUAACAAAACCAACUUCUAUCACGUCUGCAAGAGGGAGAAGUCCCAGGGGAAGUCCAAACUCCUCAAGAAGAGAGAUUGCCAUUUUAAGCCCUUCCUGAUGACCCUUUGCGACAACUCCUCCUUCCUUCUCAGCCAUGGAUGAUGGUCUCUCUUUGGUUAGAAUUCACUUUUGAGGCCAAUUUGUUUGAAUGGAGUUCCUUUGAAGGAGUACUUCUAUUUAAACCCAGUGCUCACAUGCAUAAGACAAACUUAAUGGAGAAACCAAAGUGACUUGCAUUGAAUUAACCACCACCAGAAUUGGUUUUCACUUAAAAAAUUGGCUGUUAUCUUUAUUGCUUAAAUGUUUCUCCGCAUUUAUUUUGUAAUGUUUAUUAUCUGUAACUUGUCCAAUCUUGAACGGGAAAAUUAUUCUCCUAUGCAAUCUCAAUAAUGUUGUCUUUCCGCCCUGAACAAAGGUUUGUCAAUUGCACUUCACUGUACUUCCUCCUACAAAAGCUUUAUGUAAAAAGAUGGCUGAAUUGCUUACAUUUUACAUUUCUGUGUCCAUUUUCAUGUCAAGCACAAGGGAUCCACUCAACUAUUCUUAAAAUUAAAAUUCUCUGGGUCAAGAAUAUACUCGAGUAGAACCAAGAAGUCAGCCACUGUUCACAUUCACUCGUCAACUGGGAAAGAAAACCUGUGGCAGGCCAAGGCCACAGUGGCACGAUGGCAUGCAGAUCCAAUGUUGAGCUUCAUCUGUGGUUGUUACUGUUGGAUUGUUCGAUUGUAAGAAUCAUAUACUACAAAGAAACUCGUCGCCUCUUUGUACAUUGUUUCCUUUUGUACAUGUGUUAAUACAAGAGAAAAGUUCCUUAGCCA